Anthonomus grandis grandis is the source of this 3280-nucleotide long non-coding RNA. RefSeq lists it as uncharacterized. The record is from RefSeq and is a predicted model, not a curated record. The transcript has 2 exons. Lineage: Eukaryota; Metazoa; Arthropoda; Insecta; Coleoptera; Curculionidae.
CUUCCGGACCUAUAUUUCUAUUUUUGAUAUACUCCCUUAAAAAAUUGAUUCUUUUAUGAACAAUAUUUGGCAAGUCCAUCAAAUAUUUUCUGUUAUUUGAUUUUUUCCACUUGAAGCCUAUACAAUUGAUCCAUCUUCUUAACGAGUCAAUGGAAAACUCAAAAUAUUCAAUUUCUUCCCUGAACUUUUCUCUUAUUAUUGCCAAUAUUACAUAUUCUUUUCUGGCGUACAUAGAAUAAAUUGUGUUCCGAAUUCUAUGUUUCAAAUAUGUUGUAAUUUUGGCUUUUGCUGCCUUUUGCUUGGAAGAUAUACGGGCUGCGUAAUCCUGAUCUGAUUUUAUCCCAUUCUUCUUUAUGUUUGCGAACGUUGUUGUGCUCAAUUUUGUUGCAUCUGCGGCUCGCUGUAUCACAUUCUCAAUUUGAACAAUUCCGUUUCGGACUUGUUUCUUUUCCAGUUGAAAAAAAAACAAUAUAUUUAUUAAAAUAAUCAGCUGCGAUUGUUCAUUAUACCUAUUAUAUCUUUUUUUAGGCAUUAUCUUACACUUUUCGAAAUAACUUUCAAGAACAAGUUGACAAACCAAUAUUUUUGAUUGACAGUGAUGGAUAUUUCACAUAACCUAGUAUAUAAAAGAUGAAUAGUCAUCAGACACCAAUUUUUUUAAAAAUUUUGUCAAAGAUUCAAAAGAUUUCAAAAAUAUAUAAUAUGUUAAUAUUUGGUUUAGCCGUUUUCCCAAUAUUUAUCUUUAAAAAAUUAAAAAAUAAAACUGUUUACCCGAAUCCCCGUUGCUAUGGUGUUUAUCGGUAACAAUAAAAUAAAUAAUGUUAUUUGUUGGGCUGUCACUGUCAAUGUUUCUGCUAUUUCUUUUGAAUAUGGGUUAUACCGAAGAAGAAAAGUUUGAAAUUAUGAGGUGGUUUUACAAAAACAACAAUAAUGUUUCUCGAGCGCAAGCUGAAUAUCACCGUAUUCAUCCCGAAAUGAGAGUUCCUGCUAGGUCCACUUUUUAUUACACUGAAAGGAGUAUGAGAAACCACAAAAAUCUACAAAGAAAAAAACGAACAGUUUUAGCUAACGCGGAUGAAGAACUACAAAUUUUAUUAUAUUUUCAAGAAAAACCAUAUUUAUCAACCGUAGAUGCUAGUAGACACUUUCAAUGCUCUAGAUCUAAGAUUCAAAGAGUUCUUUAGAAAUAUGGAUAUCAUCCUUACAAAUUGAUGCCAGUACAAAAAUUAACAAAUAAUCAUGAAAUAAGAAGGCUAACAGACUGUAAUCAGAUGUUAGAUAUAAAAAACGUAGAUAACGAUAUCUUUAAUAAAAUCUUGUGGACGGAUGAAGCUGUAUUUACAACAGCAGGGAUGUAUAAUAGAAAAAAUACUCACAUGUGGGCACCAGCAAAUCCUCACGCAUACUUCGAAAUAAAAAAACAGGGCAGAAUGUCAUUAAAUGUGUGGUGUGGUAUCCUUAGAAACCAAAUAAUUGGACCCAUUAUAUUUCAAAGAUCUUUGACUGGAAAUAGGUAUUUGCGGUUUCUAGAAAAUGAGAUUGAAGCUUUAUUAGAAGAAAUACCUUUAAGAGAAUAUACCAAUAUUAUAUGGCAUCAAGAUGGCGCCCCGCCUCAAAACUUUAGGCCAGUAAGGAUUUUUUUAAAUAAUCGUUUUAUUCAGUGGAUUGGAACCCAUGGUACCAUUAACUGGCCACCAAACAGCCCUGAUUUGACUCCUCUAGAUAGUUUUUUAUGGGGGUAUCUUAAAAAUGAAGUUUAUAAGGAAAGAAGUGAAAAUUUGGAGGAAUUAAGGGAAAAAAUUCAAAGAAGUAUAAACUCCUUAAAUGAAGAACACCCUGAAUAUAUUUCAAAUGCUCUGUUAAAACUGGACAAAGAUUAUAGAAACUGCGUUGAAAAUAAUGGCGGCCAUAUACAACAUUUGUAAAUAUUUAAAGAAACAAGGCUCAAAGGUUUUUUUUUUCAAAAAACCAAAUUUUUUUAAACAUGAUGAAUUAAAUAUUAACAUUUUAUAUAUUUUUGAAAUUAGAAAAAAAAAUUCUUUCAUUUAAAGUAAAAAUAUACAAGGGGUUCCAUUUAAAAAAAAUUAAUGAAAAUAAACGAAUUAAUGAAAUAAACACAAAUAACUUUGUGUUUUUUAUUAACUUUGCGAUACCCCUGUAUUAUAUUUUAUAACAUUUCCUGGCGAUUUAAGGUAAACCCUAUAACUUUUAUAUCAAACUUUUUUUUCCACCUCGUAUAGUAACCGAGCCAGGCUCUGUCUAAAUAUAAAAGACAACCCUGUACAUUCAUCGGUAAAACAAAUAUUUCUUAAAAAAUUCCUAUCAUUAUUUGCUCUUUCCAUCAUUUUAAAACAAAAUGCCAUUCUUCGCUCUUCAUCUCCUUCCUGCAGCUCUUGAUGUUUCUAGAAUUUAUACGAAUAAUAUUUGUGUGUUUUUAAAGUGCGCAAUACAGAUGUAUGGUGUUUAUUUACCUCUUGCCCAAGAACCCUCGUACUAACCAUCUUGUUUUCCUCCACACUCAGUAGAAUAUUAAGAUCUCUGUUCUCUCUUUCUUCGGCUCUAUUUUCGAUAUCCUGAGUUGAACAUGAUAGUCAGGAUAUCGGGCCAACAAACUAAAUUCCAAAAAUGUUUGUUGUUUAUUGCUAUGGUGAUAAGAAUUACCUUCGCUCUUGAUUUUUUAAAAUUCUAAGUUAAAUAAAGUCGAAAUUAUACCCAUUUGUAGUUACGUCAUCCAGGUGAGAAAAAACGUAUGGCGUAGAUAUUUUCGCCAAUCAAUAUUAGGUUAUAAACUUUACAAUCGCCUUCAGAAAUUAAUAGUCUGCUAUGUAUUUUUAUACGUUCAGAAAUUAACAAAUGAUUUAUUUUAGCAGCAUAUUAUUAUAUUUUUAUAUUCAUGUAUAUACUUUCAUUCCCAAAAAAUUAAAAAAAAAUCUUGUAGUAUUUAUUGUAAUAUUAACAAACUUAACAAUUAACAAAUAUUAUUACAAUUAAUCAUAAAUAAUGGGACAUAAACAACAAGUCCGAAACGGAAUUGCACUUCAAAUUGAAAAUGUGAUAGAGCGAGCCGCAGAUGCAACAAAAUUGAGCACAACAACGAUCACAAAUAUAAAGAAGAAUGGGAUAAAAUCAGAUCAGGAUUACGCUGCUCAUAUAUUUUCCAAGCAAAAGACCGCAAAAACCAAAUCUACAACAUAUUUGAAAAGUAGAAUUCGGCACGAGCAGUAGACGUAACAAAACCGAGCUUACAAAAAUUGUGAAUAAUGGUAUAAAAUUAUUUUAA